This is a long non-coding RNA of Osmerus eperlanus (European smelt), 340 nucleotides long. RefSeq lists it as uncharacterized. The transcript has 3 exons. The record is from RefSeq and is a predicted model, not a curated record. NCBI's taxonomy places the organism in Eukaryota, Metazoa, Chordata, Actinopteri, Osmeriformes, Osmeridae.
UGGACUGUAUGUCCUGAAGAGUACCAGAGUGGUCUAAAGAUCAUACUAUAAGGAGAGAUUUCCAACUCUUUUGAAUCAUCAUUAAUCAAAUCAACGUCACCUAUUGCAGGGAGUUUUGGCACUCUGUGGUAAAAGUCAAAGAGCUGGUGUCCAUCCACGAAUAUACGGAAUCGCAGCUGUUCACAAUGGAUCUCGAUCUGAGGAUUCGGAAACAGUGAUGUAACAAAGGCCACAAAGAAGUGUUUGUACCCGGAAUGGCUGAUCCCCAAUGAAAGGGAAGUAGGGGAUGAGCCUCUCAGUGUCUCCCCAGGUGCCUGAGAUGCGGGCCUGGCGCAGAAAC